CGGACGGGUGAGUAAUGCUUGGGAAUCUGCCCAGUAGUGGGGGACAACACGGGGAAACUCGUGCUAAUACCGCAUACGUCUACGGGAGAAAGUGGGGGAUCUUCGGACCUCACGCUAUUGGAUGAGCCCAAGUCGGAUUAGCUUGUUGGUGAGGUAACGGCUCACCAAGGCGACGAUCCGUAGCUGGUCUGAGAGGACGAUCAGCCACACUGGGACUGAGACACGGCCCCAGACUCCUACGGGAGGCAGCAGUGGGGAAUAUUGGACAAUGGGGGCAACCCUGAUCCAGCAAUGCCGCGUGUGUGAAGAAGGCCUGCGGGUUGUAAAGCACUUUCAGUAGAGAAGAAAAGCUUAGGGUUAAUAACCCUGGGUCUUGACGUAACCUACAGAAGAAGCACCGGCUAACUCCGUGCCAGCAGCCGCGGUAAUAUGGAGGGUGCGAGCGUUAAUCGGAAUUACUGGGCGUAAAGCGUGCGUAGGCGGCUAGGUCAGUCGAAUGUGAAAGCCCCGGGCUUAACCUGGGAAUUGCACUCGAUACUGCCUGGCUAGAGUAUGGGAGAGGGAAGUGGAAUUUCCGGUGUAGCGGUGAAAUGCGUAGAUAUCGGAAGGAACACCAGUGGCGAAGGCGACUUCCUGGCCCAAUACUGACGCUGAGGUGCGAAAGCGUGGGUAGCGAACAGGAUUAGAUACCCUGG
This 695-nucleotide ribosomal RNA is filed under the name uncultured Gammaproteobacteria bacterium. RNAcentral's name for it is "bacterial SSU rRNA". It matches the Rfam family "Bacterial small subunit ribosomal RNA", at positions 99 to 790 of the family's 1533-position model. Lineage: Bacteria; Pseudomonadati; Pseudomonadota; Gammaproteobacteria. The record is from RNAcentral.